UGCUCCACCUCCGGGGCCCCACUCUCUUCGUUGCGCCCCCACCACGCCCCGCGUCCGCGCCUCCCCUGCCUCCUCAACUCCUCGUCAUCGUCGGUUCCCCUGUGUGCCUCCCUCGCCGCCGCCACCGCCAGGGGCGGUUCCCUACUCUGCCUCCCCCACCACGCCUCCCACAUCGCGCCGCCCCCAUCGCCGCGCCCCCACAACGCCUCCACCGUCGGCGCCCCCAUUGCGAUACCCCUGAGCUCUGCAACGCCGCCGACCGCCGCUCUUGCUCGCUCUCAUCUACGACGCCGCCGUCACGCCCCUCUCUUCGCUGUGCUGCCUCCCUCCCCCACGUCCCCAUCCCCUCCUCGCCGCGCCACUUCCCCAUCUGCCGCCCCGCCUGCUUGCCUCCCCGGCGUCCCCAUCCCUUCCUCGCCACGUCGCUUCCCCAUCCGCCGCCCCCGCUGCGCGCCUCACGCAGCAACCCCGCAGCGGAACCCACCGGCGAGCUAACCGCCGUCCCGGCAGGUCGCCGUCAAUCGCCGUCGCCCCGCAGGUCGGCGUUGCACUGCAGAGGGAUUUCCCCGCUGAACGGUCGCCGCAGCAGGUCUACGCCACCUUCUUCCCACGCCGACUCCGUGUCUAAUCCCUACCUCACCACAGUUUCAACUUGUGGUUCCAGCUGAAGCAAUUGGAGAUUUAUUAAAUCUAAGGCUACAUGCUAGGCUGCUAUGAGGUUGCCAUAUAGGCAUGCUAAAAAACCGUCAGGAAGUGUACAAGCUUACAAGCUGUAAAUAAACGGAAUGAAGAGCAAUAGAUCAUCUGUUAGGUUGCCUUCGGUUUUGAACAAGCGCUAUAAGGUGGUCGAAGAAAUUCUAUUAUUUUAUUUACCAUUGAUUGGCUAUCUGUUGAUGCUUUUAUUAUUCAACCAAACUGGUGGAGGAGCCAAGGUCACAGUAAUCUUAUUAAAGGUAGUACGUACUUAUAGAACUUCCAUUUUCAUCGGUACAUGUGAGCGUGAGCUUUAAUAAUGUAUUCCAUGAUGAAAUGUAUUCCAUAGCAUUAGGAUUGGAUGCUACAGGGAGACAAAUCUCGGCUGUGUCAUAUAUUCCAUGAUGCAAAGUUGAUGUUGGCUAUUGUCUCGGCGUUUCGAAUAAAGAAGAUUGUUAGAAGAGAAUGUAAUGGUGUAGCUUCUUUGGGCAUGAUGUACAAGAACUUUUAACUCAACUGAUUUAAGCGAAUGAUGUAUUUCUUUUACUCCAUUCAAUGUAUGUUGACGUGCAAGGCACGUGCACGCUAACUAGUUAUAUUAUAAUGUGGUUGAUUUUUUUUAUGAGACGGAGGAAAGUACUUGUUUGUCGCAUGAUUAGAUGUGGCAUUCA
Molecule: non-coding RNA, 1364 nt
Organism: Oryza sativa Japonica Group (Japanese rice)
Lineage: Eukaryota; Viridiplantae; Streptophyta; Magnoliopsida; Poales; Poaceae
Source: RefSeq, a predicted model, not a curated record